UGAAUGUGGGGAUACUGCUAUUGACAAUAGU
This 31-nucleotide non-coding RNA is filed under the name Rattus norvegicus (Norway rat). Lineage: Eukaryota; Metazoa; Chordata; Mammalia; Rodentia; Muridae. The record is from RNAcentral.